UUGAGAUUUUGUUUAUUCCUAUCACUUAGUGAGUGUUGUUUAUUAAAAUUUUAAGUUAGCUGAGCUGAUGUUUUCUUGUGUUCUCUAUGGUUUUCUGAUUCGUGAUCUAGAAAAUGCAAGUUUUUAUUAGGUUUCAAUCGACCAAAUUGCAUGUAUCUGCUGUUAUGUUAUUGUGGCUUAGAAAAUGUAGGAAAAUUGGAUUUUGAUUUUGCCGUGUGUGAUCAUUUGCUUUAGUGGCACAUCUGUUGUUGUUGUAUAUUUGUUUUUCUGGUUUAUUUGUAUGCAAAUAGACAAUGCCAUUGUUUUAAGUGCAAAUAUAGGGUAUGGGAAGCUCUUCCUCUUCACAAAGACAAGUGAAUGAUAAUGCAAGUGCAAACCAUAUGGUGCCAUCUCCAAAUCGCCAGAAGCCAUUCAAACAUAACAGUCCAAAUGUGUUUUCUAAUGGUGGUCACCCACAGCCGCCUGCUUCCCAAGCUUUGACAGCAACAACUGGGUCCCAUUAUCAACCUCCAAUCGAACAUGCACAAAGAAGUGCAUUUGUGUCUAAUGAUCGUCCACAGCAGCGUAAUUCAUUUAGAAAUCGGAACAGUGGUUCACAUCAGCGUGGAGAUGGGUCUAACCAUCAUAAUUAUGGGAACAGACGGGAUCAGGACUGGAAUACUCAACGGAAUUUCAAUGGUAGAGACCCCCAUAUGCCACCACGAGUUGGUCCUAGAUUUCCAAGACCUCCACCUCCACCUCCACCUCAUAAUGCUGCUCAAUUUAUUCACACAGCACCAGUUAGGGCAUUUGGUGGUCCUAUUGGUUUCCAUGGUAAGUACGCUGUAUUAGAGAUUAUUUCUUUCAGGAUAUGCAUAUUCUGUGACGACUGUAUUCGUUUUCAGAUGUAGUUCCUCCAAUAGUAUAUCUCCAACAACCACCUUCACAUCCAAAUUUACUAAGAGGGGUUCAUUAUGGUCCUCCAAUGCCUCCUCAGACAUUGUUCUACACAGGUCCAGACCCUCAGUUGCAUACUAGGAUAGUCACUCAGAUUAAUUACUAUUUUAGGUACUGCUUUCAAUGUGGUCUGUUAGUAAAUUCUUCUUUCUUUAACCGGUUUUUUUUAUUAAUAAUAAUCUUAUCGUAUAUUUUUCAAGUAAGUUAAUUUUUUUGAGAGUAAUAAUAAAAGAAAACCCCCAAAACACAAAACAGCCGCAAUAGUUAUGGGAACUGGGCGUAUUUUCUUGACGUGAAUAACUAAAGAAAAGUCCAAAUAGAAAGGAAACAGGAACAAACGCAGGGGCAUUUACGUAAACUCAUGUGUGACACUCUCACACAGAGGAACAAAACCUGGCACCCGAAGCGUUCUACGAAACUUUCUUCGAAACGCAUUUUCUUCUCUCUUUCAACAUAACACAACAAACCAAAAGCUCCUCUCUUCACUGCGAUCAGAUCGCUCAAAAUUUUGGAACCCUAAAUUUGCUGCAUUUUGGUUUCUCAAUUUUGUCGAAACCCUAGAAGCCACUUUGCGUGCAAAUCAAUAAUCUCCGUCUUCCUUUUGCUUUGAUCAUCAAUCUCCUUCCAGUAGCAAACGCUGUGAGAUUAGAGGUUAAUAUUAACCCUAAACACCACACCAUGGCCAUGGCUGGUAACCACUCAGCUGUCUCACCGUGGAAUCAGGUUGUCCGCGGUGGCGAGUCCGAGUCUGUACUGGCAGCUCCAUCUUCUGCGAUGGAAUCGGCGGUGGCCGUUGAAUCUUCGCUCCCUUCUGGUUCCACCGCCGUGUCAACUUCUCUGUCGGUAGAAGAUUCCUGCUCCACCGCUGAGAGCUCCAAAAACGGUGGGAACAAGGGCCGAGCUGCGAAGAAGCCUGCCUGGAACAAGCCAUCAUCCAAUGGCGGAGCUUCGGAAGUUAAGCUGGUAAUGGACGCAGUCUCUUGGCCUGCACUGUCCGAGUCUACCAGGGUUGCUAUUAAAUCAGAAUCAUCAUCAAAGGGUUUGUUGGAUGGAUCAUCCUCUGUUCUUCAAUCGCAGGUUCGGUUGAGAUUUUGUUUAUUCCUAUCACUUAGUGAGUGUUGUUUAUUAAAAUUUUAAGUUAGCUGAGCUGAUGUUUUCUUGUGUUCUCUAUGGUUUUCUGAUUCGUGAUCUAGAAAAUGCAAGUUUUUAUUAGGUUUCAAUCGACCAAAUUGCAUGUAUCUGCUGUUAUGUUAUUGUGGCUUAGAAAAUGUAGGAAAAUUGGAUUUUGAUUUUGCCGUGUGUGAUCAUUUGCUUUAGUGGCACAUCUGUUGUUGUUGUAUAUUUGUUUUUCUGGUUUAUUUGUAUGCAAAUAGACAAUGCCAUUGUUUUAAGUGCAAAUAUAGGGUAUGGGAAGCUCUUCCUCUUCACAAAGACAAGUGAAUGAUAAUGCAAGUGCAAACCAUAUGGUGCCAUCUCCAAAUCGCCAGAAGCCAUUCAAACAUAACAGUCCAAAUGUGUUUUCUAAUGGUGGUCACCCACAGCCGCCUGCUUCCCAAGCUUUGACAGCAACAACUGGGUCCCAUUAUCAACCUCCAAUCGAACAUGCACAAAGAAGUGCAUUUGUGUCUAAUGAUCGUCCACAGCAGCGUAAUUCAUUUAGAAAUCGGAACAGUGGUUCACAUCAGCGUGGAGAUGGGUCUAACCAUCAUAAUUAUGGGAACAGACGGGAUCAGGACUG
RNAcentral lists this long non-coding RNA (2674 nucleotides) under Arachis ipaensis. RNAcentral describes it as "long non-coding RNA (AIPA_LNC001117)". The record is from RNAcentral. Lineage: Eukaryota; Viridiplantae; Streptophyta; Magnoliopsida; Fabales; Fabaceae.